CACGUAGUUAGCCGGGGCUUCUUGGUCGGGUACCGUCCGCGGCUCUCGCGAACCGUGUUUCUUCCCCGCUGACAGAGCCUUACGCGCCGAAACGCUUCUUCACUCACGCGGCGUCGCUGCAUCAGGGUUUCCCCCAUUGUGCAAUAUUCCCCACUGCUGCCUCCCGUAGGAGUUUGGGCCGUGUCUCAGUCCCAAUGUGGCCGUCCGCCCUCUCAGGCCGGCUACUGAUCGUCGCCUUGGUGGGCCGUUACCCCGCCAACCAGCUAAUCAGACGCGGGUCCAUCCCGUACCACCGGAGUUUUCAAGAAAGGAACAUGCGUCCCCUUCUGUUAUGCGGUAUUAGCACCUGUUUCCAGGUGUUAUCCCCCGGUACGGGGCAGGUUCCCCACGCGUUACUCACCCGUCCGCCACUAAGGCCCGCGCCUUCCGGGUCUGGUAAACCAUCCCCUUCCGCCGCUGGCCCCCGUUCGACUUGCAUGUGUUAGGCACGCCGCCAGCGUUCAUCCUGAGCCAGGAUCAAACUCU
Molecule: ribosomal RNA, 525 nt
Filed under: uncultured Lachnospiraceae bacterium
Lineage: Bacteria; Bacillati; Bacillota; Clostridia; Lachnospirales; Lachnospiraceae
Description: partial 16S ribosomal RNA
Source: RNAcentral